GGGAGGUUAGCUCAGCGGUUAGAGCACCUGCCUUACAAGCAGGGGGUCGAAGGUUCGAAUCCCUCACCUCCCACCA
This 76-nucleotide transfer RNA is filed under the name Thermoanaerobaculia bacterium. RNAcentral describes it as "tRNA-Val". It matches the Rfam family "tRNA". Rfam says of the family: Transfer RNA (tRNA) molecules are approximately 80 nucleotides in length. Their secondary structure includes four short double-helical elements and three loops (D, anti-codon, and T loops). Lineage: Bacteria; Pseudomonadati; Acidobacteriota; Thermoanaerobaculia. The record is from RNAcentral.